CGAACGACGAUGACGGGAAGAGUAGGCUUGCCAUCCUUAUGACAGAGAGCCGGGGUAGCUGCGAACCGGUAUAAGCGAUCAAGCCGAACAUGGCCCCCGAGUCUCGCGGAUGAACCGCCGUUUCCGGCGCCAAGUAGUCUGCGACGCAAGCCUGCGUUACGGGUGAGUCAGCAGCAGUCUGACUCGACAAGUCCGCUGUUCGCGAGAAGGCGGAGCAUUUGGGUGGUACCACGAGAACAAGGCUCGUCCCAAUC
RNAcentral lists this non-coding RNA (254 nucleotides) under Bacillus sp. (in: firmicutes). RNAcentral's name for it is "Bacillus sp. T-box sequence". It matches the Rfam family "T-box leader". From Rfam's summary of the family: Uncharged tRNA acts as the effector for transcription antitermination of genes in the T-box leader family. T-boxes are found upstream of many aminoacyl-tRNA synthetase genes and some amino acid biosynthetic genes usually in Gram-positive bacteria. The anticodon of a specific tRNA base pairs to a specifier sequence within the T-box motif, and the NCCA acceptor tail of the tRNA base pairs to a conserved bulge in the T-box antiterminator hairpin. The record is from RNAcentral. Lineage: Bacteria; Bacillati; Bacillota; Bacilli; Caryophanales; Bacillaceae.